This 253-nucleotide ribosomal RNA is filed under the name uncultured bacterium. Its description in RNAcentral is "partial 16S ribosomal RNA". It matches the Rfam family "Bacterial small subunit ribosomal RNA", at positions 524 to 776 of the family's 1533-position model. The record is from RNAcentral.
UACAGAGGGGGCAAGCGUUAUUCGGAAUUAUUGGGCGUAAAGGGCGCGUAGGCGGCUUGGCAAGUGGAAGGUGAAAUCCCUCGGCUCAACUGAGGAACUGCCUUCCAGACUGCUUUGCUUGAGUCCGGGAGAGGUGAGUGGAAUUCCGAGUGUAGAGGUGAAAUUCGUAGAUAUUCGGAGGAACACCAGUGGCGAAGGCGGCUCACUGGUCCGGUACUGACGCUGAGGUGCGAAAGCGUGGGGAGCAAACAGG